UGGGGAAUAUUGCACAAUGGGCGCAAGCCUGAUGCAGCCAUGCCGCGUGUGUGAAGAAGGCCUUCGGGUUGUAAAGCACUUUCAGCGGGGAGGAAGGCGGUGAGGUUAAUAACCUCAUCGAUUGACGUUACCCGCAGAAGAAGCACCGGCUAACUCCGUGCCAGCAGCCGCGGUAAUACGGAGGGUGCAAGCGUUAAUCGGAAUUACUGGGCGUAAAGCGCACGCAGGCGGUCUGUCAAGUCGGAUGUGAAAUCCCCGGGCUCAACCUGGGAACUGCAUUCGAAACUGGCAGGCUAGAGUCUUGUAGAGGGGGGUAGAAUUCCAGGUGUAGCGGUGAAAUGCGUAGAGAUCUGGAGGAAUACCGGUGGCGUAGGCGGCCCCCUGGACAAAGACUGACGCUCAGGUGCGAAAGCGUGGGGAGCAAACAGG
RNAcentral lists this ribosomal RNA (429 nucleotides) under Chloroflexota bacterium. RNAcentral describes it as "Chloroflexi bacterium partial 16S ribosomal RNA". It matches the Rfam family "Bacterial small subunit ribosomal RNA", at positions 355 to 776 of the family's 1533-position model. The record is from RNAcentral. Lineage: Bacteria; Bacillati; Chloroflexota.